GACAGAGGUGCCAAGCGUUAGGCGGAAUCACUGGGCUUAAAGCGUGUGUAGGCGGACUUGUAAGUACCUUGUGAAAUCCCACGGCUCAACCGUGGAACUGCUUGGUAUACUGCUUGUCUUGAGCCACUUAGGGGCUACCGGAACAAAUGGUGGAGCGGUGAAAUGCGUAGAUAUCAUUUGGAACGCCAAUGGUGAAAACAGGUAGCUGGGAGUGUGCUGACGCUGAGACACGAAAGCCAGGGGGGCGAACGGG
Molecule: ribosomal RNA, 253 nt
Filed under: uncultured bacterium
Lineage: Bacteria
Description: partial 16S ribosomal RNA
Rfam family: Bacterial small subunit ribosomal RNA
Source: RNAcentral